CAUGCAGUCGAACGAUGAAGCCCUUCGGGGUGGAUUAGUGGCGAACGGGUGAGUAACACGUGGGCAAUCUGCCCUUCACUCUGGGACAAGCCCUGGAAACGGGGUCUAAUACCGGAUAACACUUUCCUCUGCAUGGGGGAAGGUUGAAAGCUCCGGCGGUGAAGGAUGAGCCCGCGGCCUAUCAGCUUGUUGGUGGGGUGAUGGCCCACCAAGGCGACGACGGGUAGCCGGCCUGAGAGGGCGACCGGCCACACUGGGACUGAGACACGGCCCAGACUCCUACGGGAGGCAGCAGUGGGGAAUAUUGCACAAUGGGCGAAAGCCUGAUGCAGCGACGCCGCGUGAGGGAUGACGGCCUUCGGGUUGUAAACCUCUUUCAGCAGGGAAGAAGCGAAAGUGACGGUACCUGCAGAAGAAGCGCCGGCUAACUACGUGCCAGCAGCCGCGGUAAUACGUAGGGCGCAAGCGUUGUCCGGAAUUAUUGGGCGUAAAGAGCUCGUAGGCGGCUUGUCGCGUCGGAUGUGAAAGCCCGGGGCUUAACCCCGGGUCUGCAUUCGAUACGGGCAGGCUAGAGUGUGGUAGGGGAGAUCGGAAUUCCUGGUGUAGCGGUGAAAUGCGCAGAUAUCAGGAGGAACACCGGUGGCGAAGGCGGAUCUCUGGGCCAAUACUGACGCUGAGGAGCGAAAGCGUGGGGAGCGAACAG
This 703-nucleotide ribosomal RNA is filed under the name Streptomyces sp. Its description in RNAcentral is "bacterial SSU rRNA". It matches the Rfam family "Bacterial small subunit ribosomal RNA", at positions 54 to 775 of the family's 1533-position model. The record is from RNAcentral. Lineage: Bacteria; Bacillati; Actinomycetota; Actinomycetes; Kitasatosporales; Streptomycetaceae.